This 70-nucleotide transfer RNA is filed under the name Pleodorina starrii. It matches the Rfam family "tRNA". Rfam says of the family: Transfer RNA (tRNA) molecules are approximately 80 nucleotides in length. Lineage: Eukaryota; Viridiplantae; Chlorophyta; Chlorophyceae; Chlamydomonadales; Volvocaceae. The record is from Rfam by way of RNAcentral.
GCCUCGUUAGCUUAGUGGUAGAGCGUCCUUCGUAAGGGAAAGGUCUUGAGUGCAAUCCUCAAACGGGGCA